RNAcentral lists this long non-coding RNA (298 nucleotides) under Solanum lycopersicum (tomato). RNAcentral's name for it is "partial TCONS_00189377". The record is from RNAcentral. Lineage: Eukaryota; Viridiplantae; Streptophyta; Magnoliopsida; Solanales; Solanaceae.
CUUUGAGAAUACACAUCUAGACACCUCAACUCGUCCCCACUGUGUCGUUGUGAACAACCGACGUUGAUGUGACUCAUAAAUUUUGGAGGUGUCUAGAUGAUCAUUUUUGUAAGUUGGACAGGUCAACUGACAUGGUUAGACGAGUUGAGGCCAAGUUAAACUGUGUUGCGUUCAGUCUAUACUGCAAAUUGAUAGAUGGAACAGCAGAUUAUGAGGCCAAUUGUGUUGAAGUAUUGGUUUUGAACUUUUUUUGAGCUUUCAAGUCCACCACAAUCACUGUUAUGUUGUCCUUGCUGCC